RNAcentral lists this ribosomal RNA (221 nucleotides) under uncultured bacterium. RNAcentral describes it as "partial 16S ribosomal RNA". It matches the Rfam family "Bacterial small subunit ribosomal RNA", at positions 129 to 334 of the family's 1533-position model. The record is from RNAcentral.
CCUCAAAGAGGGGGACAACAGUUGGAAACGACUGCUAAUACCGCAUACGAUCUAAUCUCGGCAUCGAGGAUAGAUGAAAGGUGACCUCUACAUGUAAGCUAUCACUGAAGGAGGGGAUUGCGUCUGAUUAGCUAGUUGGAGGGGUAACGGCCCACCAAGGCGAUGAUCAGUAGCCGGUCUGAGAGGAUGAACGGCCACAUUGGGACUGAGACACGGCCCAG